UCUCCUUAGAAAGGAGGUGAUCCAGCCGCAGGUUCUCCUACGGCUACCUUGUUACGACUUCACCCCAAUCACUAAUCCCACCUUCGGCCGCGUGGGUGAUGAAGGUCUUCGGAUUGUAAAGCCCUGUUUUCUAGGACGAUAAUGACGGUACUAGAGGAGGAAGCCACGGCUAACUACGUGCCAGCAGCCGCGGUAAUACGUAGGUGGCGAGCGUUGUCCGGAUUUACUGGGCGUAAAGGGUGCGUAGGCGGAUGUUUAAGUGGGAUGUGAAAUCCCCGGGCUUAACCUGGGGGCUGCAUUCCAAACUGGAUAUCUAGAGUGCAGGAGAGGAAAGCG
This 336-nucleotide ribosomal RNA is filed under the name Clostridium botulinum Af84. RNAcentral describes it as "bacterial SSU rRNA". It matches the Rfam family "Bacterial small subunit ribosomal RNA", at positions 1 to 663 of the family's 1533-position model. Lineage: Bacteria; Bacillati; Bacillota; Clostridia; Eubacteriales; Clostridiaceae. The record is from RNAcentral.